RNAcentral lists this long non-coding RNA (276 nucleotides) under Panax ginseng (ginseng). RNAcentral's name for it is "long non-coding RNA (PGIN_LNC006639)". The record is from RNAcentral. Lineage: Eukaryota; Viridiplantae; Streptophyta; Magnoliopsida; Apiales; Araliaceae.
UGAAAUUGAGAGUGAGAGAGGAAAGAGCUUGAGAGGGUGGCGAAUUCUGGAGUUUUUAGAAGCUAAUCAAGCAAGGAGCAUCAUUGGAGGAAUUCGAGUAAAAGGAAUUCAUCAAAGAGGUAAGCCAUGAUUUUUUUUUCACGUUCUUAAGUAAAAAUGAGAGAAUAUGCUUAUGAGACUUUUUGCAAACGAUUUGUUUUGGACCUUGUGAUGCCAUGCUACUGUUAGUUGUUGAUAUGUGGAUGUUAAGAAUGAAAGUUCUGGUUUAAUCAUGCC